This 240-nucleotide long non-coding RNA is filed under the name Elaeis guineensis (African oil palm). Its description in RNAcentral is "long non-coding RNA (EGUI_LNC072169)". The record is from RNAcentral. Lineage: Eukaryota; Viridiplantae; Streptophyta; Magnoliopsida; Arecales; Arecaceae.
GGUGACAUCUGUAACUACCUGGUAGUGGACUGUUCAGAGCCGUGCGGAGUUUGUUACGGAGAGUAGUAGCAGCAAGGAUCUUUCAGGGCCACGUAGAGUUUGUUACGGAGAGUGGAGUGGUGUCCGUUGUCGUGACUUGCCAGGGAGUGGUAGAGCCCAGAGAGCGGGGUGGUGUCUAUUAUCGUGACUUGCCAGAGAGUAGUAGAGCCAUGCAGAAUUCGUUACAGAGAGUGGAGUAGG